CCAGAAUGGCGGCUUCUCACCUUCUCACUCGUUCAGCAGCAGGGCAACGUGAUGCGCGGGGUGUGUACGGGGGUGACUGAAGGACACUGGGGCAGUUAUGCUGGCACAACUAGAGACACUCAAGAAAGAAGACUUCAGAGCCGCUUCAGAAAGCGCAAGAACCACGAGUGAUCACCAACUCUUUCUGCCUCAGCCUCGUCUAAAUAAACAACAGUCUGGACCAGAAAACCAGCC
Long non-coding RNA from Fukomys damarensis (Damara mole-rat), 234 nucleotides. RefSeq lists it as uncharacterized. The transcript has 3 exons. The record is from RefSeq and is a predicted model, not a curated record. Lineage: Eukaryota; Metazoa; Chordata; Mammalia; Rodentia; Bathyergidae.